GACGAACGCUGGCGGCGUGCUUAACACAUGCAAGUCGAGCGGUAAGGCCCCUUCGGGCGUACACGAGCGGCGCGCGGGUGAGUAACACGUGAGUAAUCUGCCCUCCACUUCGGGAUAAACACCGGAAACGGUGGCUAAUACCGAAUACGACCAGCCUUCGCAUGAGGUGCUGGUGGAAAGUCUUUUCGGUGAAGGAUGUGCUCGCGGCCUAUCAGCUUGUUGGUGGGGUAAUGGCCUACCAAGGCUUCGACGGGUAGCCGGCCUGAGAGGGUGACCGGCUGGACUGGGACUGAGACACGGCCAAGACUCCUACGGGAGGCAGCAGUGGGGAAUAUUGGACAAUGGGCGAAAGCCUGAUCCAGCAACGCCGCGUGAGGGAUGACGGCCUUCGGGUUGUAAGCCUGUUUCAGUACCGACGAAGCGCCCUGUCGGGUGGUGACGGUAGGUACAGAAGAAGGACCGGCCAACUACGUG
RNAcentral lists this ribosomal RNA (474 nucleotides) under uncultured bacterium. RNAcentral's name for it is "partial 16S ribosomal RNA". It matches the Rfam family "Bacterial small subunit ribosomal RNA", at positions 28 to 507 of the family's 1533-position model. The record is from RNAcentral.